Bubalus bubalis (water buffalo) is the source of this 449-nucleotide long non-coding RNA. RefSeq lists it as uncharacterized. The transcript has 3 exons. The record is from RefSeq and is a predicted model, not a curated record. Lineage: Eukaryota; Metazoa; Chordata; Mammalia; Artiodactyla; Bovidae.
CUUGUAUUUAAGUUUCCCAAGUAAGAUUUGGGCUGUAGAGAGAAUCUUGGAGCUCUUCAGGGACAUUGGGGCUCCCAGAACAAAUUUGUUUCUCACAGUACCGGUAAAAGGUGCAUUUUCUUGACCAUCCCAGCAGGGAUUUUUCUCUUAAGAAGUAGUGCUGCUCUGAAGACUCCUGGAGAUCCUGACAACAUUUUCCAUUAACUGGAUCAACCAAGAAGCUUUGCUACCUCAAGGAAGUAAGGCAUGAAUAUAAAAAGGAUGGGGGAGAUAGCAAGAACAACGAUGAUGACAUCAUUGAUAACACAAACAAAGUGAUAUCAUCAUAUAGACAUUGAAGACACAUCUGAGAAAACCAUAUGCCAGUCUCUUGGAAGGUUUCAAUUAUUUUUCUUUUUUAAAUUUAUUUUUAAUUGGGGUAUAUUUGUUUCACAAUAUUCUGUUGGCUU